GAGAGAUGGUCGAGCUGGCUUAAGGCACCGGUCUUGAAAACCGGCGUACCUUUACGGGUACCGUGGGUUCAAAUCCCACUCUCUCC
Molecule: transfer RNA, 86 nt
Filed under: Clostridium tertium
Lineage: Bacteria; Bacillati; Bacillota; Clostridia; Eubacteriales; Clostridiaceae
Also listed under: 3 other names
Rfam family: tRNA
About the family: Transfer RNA (tRNA) molecules are approximately 80 nucleotides in length. Their secondary structure includes four short double-helical elements and three loops (D, anti-codon, and T loops). Further hydrogen bonds mediate the characteristic L-shaped molecular structure. tRNAs have two regions of fundamental functional importance: the anti-codon, which is responsible for specific mRNA codon recognition, and the 3' end, to which the tRNAs corresponding amino acid is attached (by aminoacyl-tRNA synthetases). tRNAs cope with the degeneracy of the genetic code in two manners: having more than one tRNA (with a specific anti-codon) for a particular amino acid; and 'wobble' base-pairing, i.e. permitting non-standard base-pairing at the 3rd anti-codon position.
Source: RNAcentral